GUAGGGAGCAAGCGUUGUUCGGAAUCAUUGGGCGUAAAGAGCGCGUAGGUGGCUUGGUAAGUCUGUUGUGAAAGCCCACAGCUCAACUGUGGAACUGCGACAGAAACUGCCUGGCUAGAGUGCGGGAGAGGAAAGUGGAAUUCCCAGUGUAGAGGUGAAAUUCGUAGAUACUGGGAGGAACACCGGUGGCGAAGGCGGCUUUCUGGACCGCAACUGACGCUGAGGCGCGAAAGCUAGGGGAGCGAACGGGGGAUUAGAUACCCCGGUAGUCCUAGCCGUAAACGAUGGGCACUAGGUGUAGGGGGUAUCGACCCCCUUCUGUGCCCGUAGCUAACGCAUUAAGUGCCCCGCCUGGGGGAGUACGGUCGCAAGACUA
RNAcentral lists this ribosomal RNA (376 nucleotides) under uncultured organism. Its description in RNAcentral is "partial 16S ribosomal RNA". It matches the Rfam family "Bacterial small subunit ribosomal RNA", at positions 527 to 896 of the family's 1533-position model. The record is from RNAcentral.